GACGAACGCUGGCGGCGUGCCUAAUACAUGCAAGUAGAACGCUGAAGGAGGAGCUUGCUUCUCUGGAUGAGUUGCGAACGGGUGAGUAACGCGUAGGUAACCUGCCUGGUAGCGGGGGAUAACUAUUGGAAACGAUAGCUAAUACCGCAUAAGAGUAGAUGUUGCAUGACAUUUGCUUAAAAGGUGCACUUGCAUCACUACCAGAUGGACCUGCGUUGUAUUAGCUAGUUGGUGGGGUAACGGCUCACCAAGGCGACGAUACAUAGCCGACCUGAGAGGGUGAUCGGCAACACUGGGACUGAGACACGGCCCAGACUCCUACGGGAGGCAGCAGUAGGGAAUCUUCGGCAAUGGACGGAAGUCUGACCGAGCAACGCCGCGUGAGUGAAGAAGGUUUUCGGAUCGUAAAGCUCUGUUGUAAGAGAAGAACGAGUGUGAGAGUGGAAAGUUCACACUGUGACGGUAUCUGACCAGAAAGGGACGGCUAACUACGUG
RNAcentral lists this ribosomal RNA (495 nucleotides) under uncultured bacterium. Its description in RNAcentral is "partial 16S ribosomal RNA". It matches the Rfam family "Bacterial small subunit ribosomal RNA", at positions 28 to 507 of the family's 1533-position model. The record is from RNAcentral.